RNAcentral lists this ribosomal RNA (243 nucleotides) under Triticum aestivum (bread wheat). Its description in RNAcentral is "partial small subunit ribosomal RNA". Lineage: Eukaryota; Viridiplantae; Streptophyta; Magnoliopsida; Poales; Poaceae. The record is from RNAcentral.
AUGCAUUGGCUUUCAUGGGACAAACUCACGGUUCCUAAAUGUAAAGGCGGGAUGGAUUUCCGCGAUUUCAGAAAUUUCAAUUUGGCAAUGCUUGGGAAGCAUGGGUGGAGAUUGCUAACUGAGCCUGCUUCCUUGGUGCCUAGAGUUCUUAAAGGAAGAUACUUUCCAGAUUGUGGAUUCAUGCAGGCUUCUACUCCUGCGAGUUCCUCAUCUACUUGGCGUGCUAUCAUCGCUAGAAGAGAU